AUCUGGCAACGAGGCUGCGAGGAAAUCUUAAUGAUAUUGGACAUAUUGUUUUCCCCGGUGUACAAGGUAGAGUUGAAAGAUGCAAGUGGUGUUUCUGAUCACUUUCCUUUUGGUCUCAGCUCACUGCACACCAUGGAAACCACCGAUCAACAGAGUGACUACCAGAGCCCCCAUGCUGCCGUCACCACCGAGAACAGAAAUUGCUCCUCCUCUGACUCCGAGGCCCCCAGGCCCUUUCACCCCAGACAGACGGGGAGACAUGUGAUUCAUGAAGUUCUGCAGGGAUUUCAGAGCGAAAGGCAGCUUCUUCCCCCGCAUCCACACCACAGCUGACGAUCCAACACAGCAGCUCUCUGCUCCGUGUCCCACAAGGGACCCUCUUCUGUAUCCUGGCUAAAAUGGCACUUCAUUAAAAAUGUUUCUGUCACUACGAUAUUCCCAAGUGGAAUGAUAUUUCCCAUCAUUAUCAGCCUUUAAAGAGAGAUGGGGAAAACGAGCAAAGGAAUCGAGGGAACAGGAUCUCUUUUUUCCUGGGAAGCCCUAGGCGUAGCUAAAAAUCAAGAGGUUCUAUGACAAAGGAAGAGGGCAAGAGGAUACUGGGGUGGUGGUGGGUGACAGGACUGUCUCCAGGUGACAUCCAAGCCCUUGAGAGACCUCUGGGAUGUUUCCAGCAAGAGGAGAUGGUAUUCUGACCCUUUUAACUGGGACAGAAAUUUGAUGAAGCUCAGGGGAAAUGCACCUAAAAUUUCCCCUUGUCUUAUUUGGGAGGCAGAGUUAGCAGUUUCUCCCUAAUCACAGAUGUGCAAAGAAAAGGG
This 815-nucleotide long non-coding RNA is filed under the name Sus scrofa (pig). RNAcentral's name for it is "lncRNA (ENSSSCG00030007962.1)". Lineage: Eukaryota; Metazoa; Chordata; Mammalia; Artiodactyla; Suidae. The record is from RNAcentral.